GGUCCCGUAGUGUAGCGGUUAACACGCCUGCCUGUCACGCAGGAGAUCGCGGGUUCGAGUCCCGUCGGGACCGCCA
Molecule: transfer RNA, 76 nt
Filed under: Staphylococcus pettenkoferi
Lineage: Bacteria; Bacillati; Bacillota; Bacilli; Caryophanales; Staphylococcaceae
Also listed under: 1 other name
Description: tRNA-Asp
Rfam family: tRNA
About the family: Transfer RNA (tRNA) molecules are approximately 80 nucleotides in length. Their secondary structure includes four short double-helical elements and three loops (D, anti-codon, and T loops). Further hydrogen bonds mediate the characteristic L-shaped molecular structure. tRNAs have two regions of fundamental functional importance: the anti-codon, which is responsible for specific mRNA codon recognition, and the 3' end, to which the tRNAs corresponding amino acid is attached (by aminoacyl-tRNA synthetases). tRNAs cope with the degeneracy of the genetic code in two manners: having more than one tRNA (with a specific anti-codon) for a particular amino acid; and 'wobble' base-pairing, i.e. permitting non-standard base-pairing at the 3rd anti-codon position.
Source: RNAcentral